AGUGAACGCUGGCGGUAGGCCUAACACAUGCAAGUCGAACGGCAGCACAGUAAGAGCUUGCUCUUACGGGUGGCGAGUGGCGGACGGGUGAGGAAUACAUCGGAAUCUACUUUUUCGUGGGGGAUAACGUAGGGAAACUUACGCUAAUACCGCAUACGACCUACGGGUGAAAGCAGGGGAUCUUCGGGCCUUGCGCGAUUGAAUGAGCCGAUGUCGGAUUAGCUAGUUGGCGGGGUAAAGGCCCACCAAGGCGACGAUCCGUAGCUGGUCUGAGAGGAUGAUCAGCCACACUGGAACUGAGACACGGUCCAGACUCCUACGGGAGGCAGCAGUGGGGAAUAUUGGACAAUGGGCGAAAGCCUGAUCCAGCAAUACCGCGUGGGUGAAGAAGGCCUUCGGGUUGUAAAGCCCUUUUGUUGGGAAAGAAAAGCAGCAGGUGAAUACCCCGCUGUUCUGACGGUACCCAAAGAAUAAGCACCGGCUAACUUCGUG
RNAcentral lists this ribosomal RNA (492 nucleotides) under uncultured bacterium. RNAcentral's name for it is "partial 16S ribosomal RNA". It matches the Rfam family "Bacterial small subunit ribosomal RNA", at positions 29 to 507 of the family's 1533-position model. The record is from RNAcentral.